This 71-nucleotide non-coding RNA is filed under the name unclassified sequences. RNAcentral describes it as "int-alpA RNA". It matches the Rfam family "int-alpA RNA". From Rfam's summary of the family: Acidobacteria (1 example), Planctomycetes (1 example), Proteobacteria. Environment (Lake Washington) The record is from Rfam by way of RNAcentral.
ACAGCGCCUAGGCUGAUCACUGAACAGCGGGAAACCUUCAACCCGCUUGGCGCUGAUUUUCUUUGGAGGGU